This 492-nucleotide ribosomal RNA is filed under the name uncultured bacterium. RNAcentral describes it as "partial 16S ribosomal RNA". It matches the Rfam family "Bacterial small subunit ribosomal RNA", at positions 29 to 507 of the family's 1533-position model. The record is from RNAcentral.
AGUGAACGCUGGCGGUAGGCCUAACACAUGCGAGUCGAACGGCAGCACAGUAAGAGCUUGCUCUUACGGGUGGCGAGUGGCGGACGGGUGAGGAAUACAUCGGAAUCUACUUUUUCGUGGGGGAUAACGUAGGGAAACUUACGCUAAUACCGCAUACGACCUACGGGUGAAAGCAGGGGAUCUUCGGACCUUGCGCGAUUGAAUGAGCCGAUGUCGGAUUAGCUAGUUGGCGGGGUAAAGGCCCACCAAGGCGACGAUCCGUAGCUGGUCUGAGAGGAUGAUCAGCCACACUGGAACUGAGACACGGUCCAGACUCCUACGGGAGGCAGCAGUGGGGAAUAUUGGACAAUGGGCGUAAGCCUGAUCCAGCCAUACCGCGUGGGUGAAGAAGGCCUUCGGGUUGUAAAGCCCUUUUGUUGGGAAAGAAAAGCAGCAGGUUAAUACCCCGCUGUUCUGACGGUACCCAAAGAAUAAGCACCGGCUAACUUCGUG